Molecule: long non-coding RNA, 204 nt
Organism: Grammomys surdaster
Lineage: Eukaryota; Metazoa; Chordata; Mammalia; Rodentia; Muridae
Exons: 2
Source: RefSeq, a predicted model, not a curated record
GUGGCAUCAAACCUAUGGACUGCUUUUGUAGUUUGAAGAGUCGUUGGAUCAUCAGUCAGGUUCAUGUCUGUUUUCUAAAGAGAGAAGAAAAAGGCAUAGAGUUGAGCGGAUCAGAAAAUGCAGGAGGACUAGGGGGAGAGUAAACUGUAACCAGAAUAUGUUGUAUGAAGAAAAACGUAAAUAAAUGGCUAAGCACAUACUAAA